CCGUUCGCUAACUAUGAGGAAGCGAACCAACUGUGACGAAUGUGAUUGGUCGAAGCCUUUGCGCUAGCUAGCUUGCUAGCGGGAGCGGAUUUAUGGAUCAAAAGUUAUCAUGACAAAACAUCAAAGACGACAUGCACUUGCUCGGGGUUGCUGAACAAGAAGGCUGCCUGAGGGGCUGCAGACAGCUGCUCAGAGGGGGAAAAACUCCUGACAAAGCCGCAUUUAUCCACGGUCCCGAGGGAGCCUCAGCCCGAAAAAAGCAGCGACGGAAUCAAUGCAUCGCAGCAGACCGGAGCGGGGAUGUGGACAGACGAGCUUGUCAGCAGCUGUUUCAGUCCGCUGCUCGGUGUGGAUAAGCUCUGUCAUGGCCUACCUAAUGGUAAUUGUUCAGAGCGGUGAUAGCCCAUCGUCUCGUCUGCACGCUGGUGUCUCAGGGGUUUGGAGUGGAGGCGACUGCGAAGGGACGAGAGCCAAGGGGGGAGGACGAGGGUUGUUACAGGGGAGACGAGAUUUUCUAAUUUCUUCCAGAUUUGUUACAAGACAUAUGGAUGUGUUGUCAGUAAUAUCUAUAAAAGGAGGCAAGUAAGGGGCGGUAUGAAAAUUAUUAGGGGGGAGAAGGUCAGAGAAGAGGAGAUGGAGUUUUCUUUUCUUUUUGUUGCAGGAAGGGUGGUCUGCAUUUUUUGGGGGGAGGCCAGGGGACGUUUUUUCUUUGUUUUCUCACCUCAGACUUUUAUUGGAGUUCUGUUCCAGAAGUAAUAAAACCCAUUGACCUUUGUAAUAAUGCAACUUAUUACAAAUCAAACUCUGGAACAUAACCUCGCUCGUCACGUAAGUUGCUCGGUUCUCGCCAUAAAUGAACACGGUAACUUAAAAAAAGGGGUUGCCACACAGGAAUUGCUUAAAAUCAGUAUUUCUUUUUUAAUAUUUUUGGUACAACGGACAUAAUUUCCCAUAUAGUCUUCGAUGUUAAGGCUGGACAGAGGAGGUUGAUUCUCAGAGGGGCGAGAGUUUUGCGCUGUGACAGUAGUUUUUUGUACGUUCACAGAGUAAACAUUUUGAAGUGUUUGUUUAUAACAGUAAGUGCUGUCGUGGUUGUCUGUUUGCUGGUUUUUCAGCUUCAGUUUCCUAGAACAUGGAAAAUAAACUUCAGGAACAUGUUGUUUUUUUGCAGUAAGAAAUAAAAGCUGC
This is a long non-coding RNA of Scophthalmus maximus (turbot), 1188 nucleotides long. RefSeq lists it as uncharacterized. The record is from RefSeq and is a predicted model, not a curated record. The transcript has 3 exons. NCBI's taxonomy places the organism in Eukaryota, Metazoa, Chordata, Actinopteri, Pleuronectiformes, Scophthalmidae.